UGAGGCUCGAAGGCUAGGGGAGCAAAAGGGAUUAGAUACCCCUGUAGUCCUAGCAGUAAACGGUGUGCGCUUGGUGUGAGAGGAUUCGACCCCCCUCGUGCCGGAGCUAACGCGUUAAGCGCACCGCCUGGGAAGUACGGCCGCAAGGCUAAAACUCAAGGAAAUUGACGGGGACCCGCACAAGCGGUGGAGUAUGUGGCUUAAUUCGAUGCAACGCGAAGAACCUUACCAAGGCUUGACAUGGAUUUCUAAGCACGUGAAAGCGUGUGACCCUUCGGGGGACUUCCACAGGUGCUGCAUGGCCGUCGUCAGCUCGUGUCGUGAGAUGUUGGGUUAAGUCCCGCAACGAGCGCAACCCCUGUGAUUAGUUGCCAGCACGUAAUGGUGGGGACUCUAGUCAGACUGCCCAGAUCAACUGGGAGGAAGGUGGGGACGACGUCAGGUCAGUAUGGCCCUUACGCCUUGGGCUGCACACGUACUACAAUGCCCAGCACAAUGAGAACCGAGACCGCGAGGUGGAGGAAAUCUAUAAAACUGGGCCCAGUUCGGAUUGGGGGCUGCAACUCGCCUCCAUGAAGCCGGAAUCGCUAGUAAUGCUGCAUCAGCUACGGCAGCGUGAAUACGUUCCCGGGUCUUGUACACACCGCCCGUCACAUCAUGGAAGCCGGUAGCACCCGAAGUAUCGUACGUCCUAAGGAAGG
This 701-nucleotide ribosomal RNA is filed under the name uncultured bacterium. Its description in RNAcentral is "bacterial SSU rRNA". It matches the Rfam family "Bacterial small subunit ribosomal RNA", at positions 747 to 1450 of the family's 1533-position model. The record is from RNAcentral.